Molecule: ribosomal RNA, 519 nt
Filed under: uncultured bacterium
Lineage: Bacteria
Description: bacterial SSU rRNA
Rfam family: Bacterial small subunit ribosomal RNA
Source: RNAcentral
CGGCCGCGUCGACGACGAACGCUGGCGGCGUGCCUAAUACAUGCAAGUAGAACGCUGAAGAGAGGAGCUUGCUCUUCUUGGAUGAGUUGCGAACGUGUGAGUAACGCGUAGGUAACCUGCCUUGUAGCGGGGGAUAACUAUUGGAAACGAUAGCUAAUACCGCAUAACAAUGGAUGACACAUGUCAUUUAUUUGAAAGGGCCAAUUGUUCCACUACAAGAUGGACCUGCGUUGUAUUAGCUAGUAGGUGAGGUAAUGGCUCACCUAGGCGACGAUACAUAGCUGACCUGAGAGGGUGAUCGGCCACACUGGGACUGAGACACGGCCCAGACUCCUACGGGAGGCAGCAGUAGGGGAUCUUCGGCAAUGGACGGAAGUCUGACCGAGCAACGCCGCGUGAGUGAAGAAGGUUUUCGGAUCGUAAAGCUCUGUUGUAAGAGAAGAACGAGUGUGAGAGUGGAAAGUUCACACUGUGACGGUAUCUUACCAGAAAGGGACGGCUAACUACGUGCCAGCACGG